This is a non-coding RNA of Podarcis lilfordi (Lilford's wall lizard), 77 nucleotides long. Lineage: Eukaryota; Metazoa; Chordata; Lepidosauria; Squamata; Lacertidae. The record is from the annotation of a GenBank genome assembly.
GUCUCCUGGGGUAGCUCAGGCAAUGGAGCAUAAGACUCUUAAUCUCAGGGUUGUGGGUUUGAGCUCCACGUUGGGCA